AACGCACAUUGCGCCCGCCAGUAUUCUGGCGGGCAUGCCUGUCCGAGCGUCAUUUCAACCCUCAAGUCCCCCGUGGCUUGGUGUUGGGGACCGGCGAUGGUGCUGCACACCCCAGCGUGUGCGGUCCGCCCGCCGCCCCCCAAAUGAAUCGGCGGUCUCGUCGCGGCCUUCCUCUGCGUAGUAGCACAACCUCGCAACAGGAGCGCGGCGCGGCCACUGCCCGUAAAACGCCCAACUUCUUUUAGAGUUGACCUCGGAUCAGGUAGGAAUACCCGCUGAACUUAA
RNAcentral lists this unclassified non-coding RNA (285 nucleotides) under uncultured fungus. RNAcentral describes it as "partial contains 5.8S ribosomal RNA, internal transcribed spacer 2, and large subunit ribosomal RNA". The stretch from base 1 to 52 matches the Rfam family "5.8S ribosomal RNA", at positions 103 to 154 of the family's 154-position model. Lineage: Eukaryota; Fungi. The record is from RNAcentral.